RNAcentral lists this non-coding RNA (31 nucleotides) under Rattus norvegicus (Norway rat). The record is from RNAcentral. Lineage: Eukaryota; Metazoa; Chordata; Mammalia; Rodentia; Muridae.
UCACAGCCACAUGUUGACUCAAGACCCAGAG